AUUGAACGCUGGCGGCAGGCCUAACACAUGCAAGUCGAGCGGAGCGGCGGACGGGUGAGUAAUGUCUAGGAAUCUGCCUGGAAGCGGGGGAUAACGCCCGGAGACGGGAGCUAAUACCGCAUACUAUCAGAUGAGCCCAGGUCGGAUUAGCUAGUUGGUGGGGUAAAGGCCUACCAAGGCGACGAUCCGUAUCUGGUCUGAGAGGAUGAUCAGUCACACUGGGACUGAGACACGGUCCAGACUCCUACGGGAGGCAGCAGUGGGGAAUAUUGGACAAUGGGCGAAAGCCUGAUCCAGCCAUGCCGCGUGUGUGAAGAAGGUCUUCGGAUUGUAAAGCACUUUAAGUUGGGAGGCGUUACCAGCAGAAUAAGCACCGGCUAACUACGUGCCAGCAGCCGCGGUAAUUC
This 407-nucleotide ribosomal RNA is filed under the name uncultured bacterium. Its description in RNAcentral is "partial 16S ribosomal RNA". It matches the Rfam family "Bacterial small subunit ribosomal RNA", at positions 30 to 526 of the family's 1533-position model. The record is from RNAcentral.